RNAcentral lists this ribosomal RNA (253 nucleotides) under uncultured bacterium. Its description in RNAcentral is "partial 16S ribosomal RNA". It matches the Rfam family "Bacterial small subunit ribosomal RNA", at positions 524 to 776 of the family's 1533-position model. The record is from RNAcentral.
UACGUAGGGUGCAGGCGUUAAUCGGAAUUACUGGGCGUAAAGCGUGCGCAGGCGGUUUGCUAAGACAGGUGUGAAAUCCCCGGGCUUAACCUGGGAACUGCGCUUGUUACUGGCAGGCUUGAGUGUGGCAGAGGGGGGUAGAAUUCCACGUGUAGCAGUGAAAUGCGUAGAGAUGUGGAGGAAUACCGAUGGCGAAGGCGGGUCUCUGGGCAGUAACUGACGCUGAGGAGCGAAAGCGUGGGGAGCGAACAGG